CCUACGGGUGGCAGCAGUGGGGAAUAUUGGGCAAUGGACGCAAGUCUGACCCAGCAACGCCGCGUGAAGGAAGAAGGCUUUCGGGUUGUAAACUUCUUUUAAGGGGGAAGAGCAGAAGACGGUACCCCUUGAAUAAGCCACGGCUAACUACGUGCCAGCAGCCGCGGUAAUACGUAGGUGGCAAGCGUUGUCCGGAUUUACUGGGUGUAAAGGGCGUGCAGCCGGAGAGACAAGUCAGAUGUGAAAUCCACGGGCUCAACCCGUGAACUGCAUUUGAAACUGGGUGUCUUGAGGGCAGGAGAGGAAAGUGGAAUUCCUAGUGUAGCGGUGAAAUGCGUAGAUAUUAGGAGGAACACCAGUGGCGAAGGCGACUUUCUGGACUGUACCUGACGCUGAGGCGCGAAAGCGUGGGUAGCGAACGGGAUUAGAUACCCCAGUAGUC
RNAcentral lists this ribosomal RNA (442 nucleotides) under uncultured bacterium. RNAcentral's name for it is "partial 16S ribosomal RNA". It matches the Rfam family "Bacterial small subunit ribosomal RNA", at positions 338 to 795 of the family's 1533-position model. The record is from RNAcentral.